GCCUUGCGAGUGUGAUGGAUGCACAAUGGUCUUCGGAACCAUUAGACGGGGUUCGACUCCCUGGUGAGGUAC
RNAcentral lists this transfer RNA (72 nucleotides) under Gimesia maris. RNAcentral's name for it is "tRNA-Arg". It matches the Rfam family "tRNA". From Rfam's summary of the family: Transfer RNA (tRNA) molecules are approximately 80 nucleotides in length. Lineage: Bacteria; Pseudomonadati; Planctomycetota; Planctomycetia; Planctomycetales; Planctomycetaceae. The record is from RNAcentral.